Non-coding RNA from Potamilus streckersoni, 73 nucleotides. The record is from the annotation of a GenBank genome assembly. NCBI's taxonomy places the organism in Eukaryota, Metazoa, Mollusca, Bivalvia, Unionida, Unionidae.
GCUUCGGUGGCCUAGUAGCUAAAGCGUCCACCUCGAAUGCGGGAGGUCGUGGGUUCGAUCCCCGGUCGAGUCA